UACGUAGGGUGCAAGCGGUAAUCGGAAUUACUGGGCGUAAAGCGUGCGCAGGCGGUUUUGUAAGUCUGUCGUGAAAGCCCCGGGCUCAACCUGGGAAUUGCGAUGGAGACUGCAAGGCUUGAAUCUGGCAGAGGGGGGUAGAAUUCCACGUGUAGCAGUGAAAUGCGUAGAGAUGUGGAGGAACACCGAUGGCGAAGGCAGCCCACUGGGACAAGAUUGACGCUCAUGCACGAAAGCGUGGGGAGCAAACAGG
RNAcentral lists this ribosomal RNA (253 nucleotides) under uncultured bacterium. RNAcentral's name for it is "partial 16S ribosomal RNA". It matches the Rfam family "Bacterial small subunit ribosomal RNA", at positions 524 to 776 of the family's 1533-position model. The record is from RNAcentral.